This 73-nucleotide transfer RNA is filed under the name Ipomoea nil (Japanese morning glory). It matches the Rfam family "tRNA". Rfam says of the family: Transfer RNA (tRNA) molecules are approximately 80 nucleotides in length. Their secondary structure includes four short double-helical elements and three loops (D, anti-codon, and T loops). Further hydrogen bonds mediate the characteristic L-shaped molecular structure. tRNAs have two regions of fundamental functional importance: the anti-codon, which is responsible for specific mRNA codon recognition, and the 3' end, to which the tRNAs corresponding amino acid is attached (by aminoacyl-tRNA synthetases). tRNAs cope with the degeneracy of the genetic code in two manners: having more than one tRNA (with a specific anti-codon) for a particular amino acid; and 'wobble' base-pairing, i.e. permitting non-standard base-pairing at the 3rd anti-codon position. Lineage: Eukaryota; Viridiplantae; Streptophyta; Magnoliopsida; Solanales; Convolvulaceae. The record is from Rfam by way of RNAcentral.
GGGGGUGUAGCUCAUAUGGUAGAGCGCUUGCUUUGCAUGCGAGAGGAACGAGGUUUAAUUUCCCGCACCUCUA